UGGGGAAUAUUGCACAAUGUGCGGAAGCCUGAUGCAGCGACGUCGCGUGGGGGAUUAAGGCCUUCGGGUUGUAAACUCCUUUCGACAGGGACGAAGCUUUUGUGACGGUACCUGUAUAAGAAGCACCGGCUAACUACGUGCCAGCAGCCGCGGUAAUACGUAGGGUGCGAGCGUUGUCCGGAAUUACUGGGCGUAAAGAGCUCGUAGGUGGUUUGUCGCGUCGUCUGUGAAAUUCCGGGGCUUAACUCCGGGCGUGCAGGCGAUACGGGCUGACUUGAGUGCUGUAGGGGAGACUGGAAUUCCUGGUGUAGCGGUGAAAUGCGCAGAUAUCAGGAGGAACACCGAUGGCGAAGGCAGGUCUCUGGGCAGUAACUGACGCUGAGGAGCGAAAGCAUGGGUAGCGAACAGG
This 409-nucleotide ribosomal RNA is filed under the name Actinomycetes bacterium. RNAcentral's name for it is "Actinobacteria bacterium partial 16S ribosomal RNA". It matches the Rfam family "Bacterial small subunit ribosomal RNA", at positions 355 to 776 of the family's 1533-position model. Lineage: Bacteria; Bacillati; Actinomycetota; Actinomycetes. The record is from RNAcentral.